UCUGAUGGAGGAGUAUGAGGAGAUAAGGAGGAGCAGAAAUUUCUCCAACCAUCACAUUUUUUUCUUUUGAAAACCUGUUUUCUUUUUUUUAUAGCUUCCGUACAAUCUUUAUCCCACCAAGGUGGACUAGGAAUAUGAGAAGGUUCAUUUUUCACUGGGAAGAUUUCAUUAGCACUUUCAAUCAAGACAUCCGUGAAAACAGGAGCAUCAAUAAGUGCAUCAUUAGACAAUAAUUGUAGCAAUUUUGUAUCUACUUUAUUACUAAAUUGCUCCCAUGUUUCUGAUGUAACAUUAUUAAGAUUAUAUCUAGGGAGCAGUUUUA
Long non-coding RNA from Melitaea cinxia (Glanville fritillary), 322 nucleotides. RefSeq lists it as uncharacterized. The record is from RefSeq and is a predicted model, not a curated record. The transcript is spliced from 2 exons. Lineage: Eukaryota; Metazoa; Arthropoda; Insecta; Lepidoptera; Nymphalidae.